GACGAACGCUGGCGGCGUGCCUAAACAUGCAAGUCGAACGGGGUCUUCGGACCCAGUGGCGAACGGCGGAGUAAUACAUAAGCAACGUGCCCUGAAGACUGGGAUAUACGAUGGAAACGUCGGGCAAUACCAGAUGUGGUUGGGAGGAGUCAUCUUCAUCCAAUUAAACGGAUUUAUUCGCUUCGGGAGCGGCUUGUGGCCUAUCAGCUAGUUGGUGAGGUAAAGGCUCACCAAGGCGACGACGGGUAGGGGGUCUGAGAGGAUGAUCCCCUCGAGUGGGACUGAGACACGGCCCACACACCUACGGGUGGCAGCAGUUGGGAAUCUUGCACAAUGGGGGAAACCCUGAUGCAGCGACGCCGCGUGGAGGAUGAAGGAUUUCGGUCUGUAAACUCCUUUUACAGGGAAAGACUUAGGACGGUACCCUGUGAAUAAGCUCCGGCUAACUACGUGCCAGCAGCCGCGGUAAU
Molecule: ribosomal RNA, 470 nt
Filed under: uncultured bacterium
Lineage: Bacteria
Description: bacterial SSU rRNA
Rfam family: Bacterial small subunit ribosomal RNA
Source: RNAcentral